Phrynosoma platyrhinos (Desert horned lizard) is the source of this 72-nucleotide non-coding RNA. The record is from the annotation of a GenBank genome assembly. NCBI's taxonomy places the organism in Eukaryota, Metazoa, Chordata, Lepidosauria, Squamata, Phrynosomatidae.
ACCAGUGUGGUGCAGUGGUUUGAGUGUUGGACUAUGACUCUGGAGGCCAAGGUUUUAUUCCUUGCUCAGCCU